ACGCUGCGGCGUGCCUAAUACAUGCAAGUCGAACGGUCGUUUCUAUGGAAGCUUGCUUCCACUGAGAAGAUAGUGGCGAACGGGUGAGUAACACGUGGGUAACCUGCCCAUAAGAGGGGGGAUAACAUCCGGAAACGGGUGCUAAUACCGCAUAGUUUUCUUGAUCGCAUGAUUGAGAAAGGAAAGACGGCCUUUGUGCUGUCGCUUAUGGAUGGACCCGCGGCGUAUUAGUUAGUUGGUGAGGUAACGGCUCACCAAGACGAUGAUACGUAGCCGACCUGAGAGGGUGAUCGGCCACAUUGGGACUGAGACACGGCCCAAACUCCUACGGGAGGCAGCAGUAGGGAAUCUUCCGCAAUGGACGGAAGUCUGGCGGAGCAACGCCGCGUGAGUGAAGAAAGGGUUUUCGGAUCGUAAAACUCUGUUGUCAGAGAAGAACAAGUUGGAGAGUAACUGCUCCAGCCUUGACGGUAUCUGACCAGAAAGCCACGGCUAACUACGUGCCAGCAGCCGC
This 514-nucleotide ribosomal RNA is filed under the name uncultured bacterium. RNAcentral describes it as "bacterial SSU rRNA". It matches the Rfam family "Bacterial small subunit ribosomal RNA", at positions 33 to 518 of the family's 1533-position model. The record is from RNAcentral.